RNAcentral lists this ribosomal RNA (494 nucleotides) under uncultured bacterium. Its description in RNAcentral is "partial 16S ribosomal RNA". It matches the Rfam family "Bacterial small subunit ribosomal RNA", at positions 28 to 508 of the family's 1533-position model. The record is from RNAcentral.
GACGAACGCUGGCGGCGUGCUUAACACAUGCAAGUCGAACGGAAAGGCCUGCUUUCCCUUGUGGAUUGCGGGUACUCGAGUGGCGAACGGGUGAGUAACACGUGAGUGAUCUGCCCCCAACUUGGGUAUAAGCCUGGGAAACUGGGUCUAAUUCCCGAUAGGACUGCAGGGUGGUGCCUGUGGUGGAAAACGAUUUUCUAGUGGUUGGGGAUGAGCUCGCGGCCUAUCAGCUUGUUGGUGGGGUAAUGGCCUACCAAGGCGGCGACGGGUAGCCGGCCUGGGAGGGGGGACGGCAACAGUGGGAGUGGGAACCGCCCCAGACGCGUGGGGGAGAAGGGGGGGGGGAAUAUGGCACGAGGGGGGGAACCCGGAGGCAGCGCCGCGGGGGGGGGGAGGCCGGCCUUGGGGUUGUAACCUCCUUGGGACGGAGGGGAAGCCCCGUGGGGGGAGGGGUGGGGAGGGUAGGGGAAGAAAAAGCCCCGGCUAACUACGGC